GUCGAACGCUGGCGGCGUGCCUAAGGCAUGCAAGUCGAACGCUCCAACUUCGGUUGGAGAGUGGCAGACGGGGGAGUAACGCGUGGGAACAUACCCUUCGGUUCGGAAUAACUCAGGGAAACUUGAGCUAAUACCGGAUACGUCCGCAAGGAGAAAGAUUUAUCGCCGAAGGAUUGGCCCGCGUCUGAUUAGCUAGUUGGUGAGGUAAUGGCUCACCAAGGCGACGAUCAGUAGCUGGUCUGAGAGGAUGAUCAGCCACAUUGGGACUGAGACACGGCCCAAACACCUACGGGUGGCAG
RNAcentral lists this ribosomal RNA (299 nucleotides) under uncultured Pseudomonadota bacterium. Its description in RNAcentral is "uncultured proteobacterium partial 16S ribosomal RNA". It matches the Rfam family "Bacterial small subunit ribosomal RNA", at positions 28 to 351 of the family's 1533-position model. The record is from RNAcentral. Lineage: Bacteria; Pseudomonadati; Pseudomonadota.